This is a non-coding RNA of Pelodiscus sinensis (Chinese soft-shelled turtle), 520 nucleotides long. The record is from the annotation of a RefSeq genome assembly. NCBI's taxonomy places the organism in Eukaryota, Metazoa, Chordata, Testudines, Trionychidae.
GGGGACAGUCACCCUGUCUGGCAGGGCUCCAAGUGCCUGAGAUCUCCUCACCAUGCUCUGGGCUCCCCUCAUUGUCCUGCUGGGGACGUGCUGCACAGGUUCCAGCUCCCAGAAUGUGGUGACUCAGCCGCCCUCAGCAUCAGUGUCCCCAGGAAACACCGUGAAACUCUCCUGCACCAUGAGCAGUGGGACCAGCAUCAGUGGCUACAAUGUGAGGUGGUUCCAACAGAAACCGGGGAAUUCCCCACGAUACCUGCUGAGAUACAAGUCAGAUUCUGACAAACACCAGGGCUCCGGGGUCCCUGCCCGGUUUUCUGGUUCCAAAGACACGUCCAGCAACACCUGCUAUUUGACCAUUUCUGGGGCCCUGGCGGAGGAUGAGGCUGACUAUUACUGUGCUGUGUGGCACAACAGUGCUUGUCACAGUGACACAGUCAGAUGGGGAAGUGAGACAAAAACCUUCUUUGUCUUCCCUUCCACCAGCCUGGGGCUGCUAGUUUUGGAGACUGCAGUUGCCUGA